UCCUACGGGAGGCAGCAGUGGGGAAUAUUGCACAAUGGGCGCAAGCCUGAUGCAGCAACGCCGCGUGAGGGACGAAGGCCUUCGGGUUGUAAACCUCUUUUAGUAGGGAAGAAGCGACCGGGUUUUCCUGGGAGUGACGGUACCUGCAGAAAAAGCACCGGCUAACUACGUGCCAGCAGCCGCGGUAAUACGUAGGGUGCAAGCGUUGUCCGGAAUUAUUGGGCGUAAAGAGCUCGUAGGCGGUUUGUCGCGUCUGCUGUGAAAACCCGAGGCUCAACCUCGGGCCUGCAGUGGGUACGGGCAGACUAGAGUGCGGUAGGGGAGAUUGGAAUUCCUGGUGUAGCGGUGGAAUGCGCAGAUAUCAGGAGGAACACCAAUGGCGAAGGCAGAUCUCUGGGCCGUAACUGACGCUGAGGAGCGAAAGCAUGGGGAGCGAACAGGAUUAGAUACCCUGGUAGUCCAUGCCGUAAACGUUGGGAACUAGAUGUGGGGACCAUUCCACGGUCUCCGUGUCGCAGCUAACGCAUUAAGUUCCCCGCCUGGGGAGUACGGCCGCAAGGCUAAAACUCAAAGGAAUUGACGGGGGCCCGCACAAGCGGCGGAGCAUGCGGAUUAAUUCGAUGCAACGCGAAGAACCUUACCAAGGCUUGACAUAUACCGGAAACGGCUGGAAACAGUCGCCCCGCAAGGUCGGUAUACAGGUGGUGCAUGGUUGUCGUCAGCUCGUGUCGUGAGAUGUUGGGUUAAGUCCCGCAACGAGCGCAACCCUCGUCCUAUGUUGCCAGCACGUAAUGGUGGGAACUCAUGGGAUACUGCCGGGGUCAACUCGGAGGAAGGUGGGGAUGACGUCAAAUCAUCAUGCCCCUUAUGUCUUGGGCUUCACGCAUGCUACAAUGGCCGGUACAAAGGGCUGCGAUACCGCAAGGUGGAGCGAAUCCCAAAAAGCCGGUCUCAGUUCGGAUUGAGGUCUGCAACUCGACCUCAUGAAGUCGGAGUCGCUAGUAAUCGCAGAUCAGCAACGCUGCGGUGAAUACGUUCCCGGGCCUUGUACACACCGCC
Molecule: ribosomal RNA, 1059 nt
Filed under: uncultured Cryobacterium sp.
Lineage: Bacteria; Bacillati; Actinomycetota; Actinomycetes; Micrococcales; Microbacteriaceae
Description: bacterial SSU rRNA
Rfam family: Bacterial small subunit ribosomal RNA
Source: RNAcentral